RNAcentral lists this ribosomal RNA (520 nucleotides) under Glutinomyces brunneus. RNAcentral's name for it is "eukaryotic LSU rRNA". The stretch from base 176 to 329 matches the Rfam family "5.8S ribosomal RNA". The record is from RNAcentral. Lineage: Eukaryota; Fungi; Ascomycota; Leotiomycetes; Helotiales; Hyphodiscaceae.
CAUUACAGAGUUCAUGCCCUACACGGGUAGAUCUCCCACCCUUUGUUAUCAUUACCUUCGUUGCUUUGGCGGGCCGUCAGGCCUCGGUCAGGCUACCGGCUCUAGCUGGUAAGCGCCCGCCAGAGGACCCCAAACUCUGAAUAUUAGUGUCGUCUGAGUACUAUAUAAUAGUUAAAACUUUCAACAACGGAUCUCUUGGUUCUGGCAUCGAUGAAGAACGCAGCGAAAUGCGAUAAGUAAUGUGAAUUGCAGAAUUUAGUGAAUCAUCGAAUCUUUGAACGCACAUUGCGCCCCUUGGUAUUCCGAGGGGCAUGCCUGUUCGAGCGUCAUUACAACCCUCAAGCAAUGCUUGGUAUUGGGCUCCGCUGCUCACCCAGCCAGCCUUAAAAUCAGUGGCGGUGCCGUUGGGCCCUGAGCGUAGUAAACAUCCUCGCUAUAGGGACCCGGUGGACACUAGCCAUCAACCCCCAUUUUCCAAGUUUGACCUCGGAUCAGGUAGGGAUACCCGCUGAACUUAAGC